ACUCACUUGACCCAUGUAUGAACGCCAAAAAGUUCUUGUGGCCCCAAGGCCUCGCCGAGGCUACUCCCAGCCAAGCAGGUGGCCUAGGAGUUAUGGAUGCAGGUUCCUUGCCCUUGACCUUGAGGUCAAAGGUGGAGAUACCAUGAUGAGAUUGCUGUCCUCAUAAGAGGAAGACGAGACCAGGACUUUUCAUGCCCCAUCAUUCAGAGACAGAGUGAAAGAUGGCCAUCUACCAGCUGGAAGAGAAUCCUUAUUAGGGACUAAACCCAACCAGCAUCUUGACCUUGGGCUUUGUAGCCAUUGGAACUACAAGAAACAAAACUGUUACUCAAGCCCUGCAGCUGGUGAUCUCCUCUUGGGCAGCUAAAGCCAACUGGAUAGUGGGAGUAUCCAACCCCUCUUCCUGGACAGUGAUGGUCAAAUCUGGUCAACCACCUAACCCACUCCCUAAAGAACCAACCAACAACCACCACUGCCACUCUCCCUCCCAGACAGCUCUGGUAAACAUGGAGAUCUUCUCUGUGUGCUUUCAAGAUCCUGUACCAGUGAAUCCCCAUCUCUCAUCUAGGUGGAUGUAAUUUCUUUCUCUCCUCUCCUAUGCUACUCCUCGUAUCAAGACUAUAACCAUGACAAUAGCUAUAAGCAUUAGUCAGGGUGAGAUGCAGUUCUACAGCCAUAUACCCAUCAUUCAGCCGUCCCCAAGGGCAGGAAAUAAUCAUACAGUGGUGUACACAUAUGCAUGAUGAAUGACUCCAUCCUGCUAGGAUUUCUGCCCUCUCUUCCUCAGGAGGUUCCCCUCUCCUUCUCAUGGCCAUGGGGACUUCCUAGCCCAAGAGCUUCACUUCCCCAUCCCUCAAUGCUCCUGUUUUGGGAGGUUUAAGACAUUAUCAAGCUUUGUGGCUCCAUAGGAUUAUUGGGGAGGUUUGAAAAGACUGAGUCUAGUCCUUGGGAAUUCUGAUUUACUUGGUUUGGAGAGUGACUGGAACAUUAAGAUUUGCAAAAACAAACAAACAAACAAAAACCUGAGGAUGUUAACUCACAGCUGAGUUUGAAACCCCCUGGGAAUCAUGAAGUGAAGGCAGUACCAUGACUACGGGCUUUGUAUCACCAUCUUGCAGGUAGCAAAUAGAUCUGGGUUUAAGUCCUGGCCAUGCCAUUUAAGCAGAUGAUUGAUGUGAGCUGCUCAGUCUUUCCAGGGCUUCAUUUCAUAAGCAAUAAAAUGGAAUAACACAUA
Mastomys coucha (southern multimammate mouse) is the source of this 1234-nucleotide long non-coding RNA. RefSeq lists it as uncharacterized. NCBI's taxonomy places the organism in Eukaryota, Metazoa, Chordata, Mammalia, Rodentia, Muridae. The record is from RefSeq and is a predicted model, not a curated record. The transcript is spliced from 2 exons.